UCCCAAGUGGUCUAGUGGUAAGGAUUCCACGCUCUCACCGUGGGGGCCGGGGUUCGAUUUUCCCGCUUGGGAA
Molecule: non-coding RNA, 73 nt
Organism: Dreissena polymorpha
Lineage: Eukaryota; Metazoa; Mollusca; Bivalvia; Myida; Dreissenidae
Source: the annotation of a RefSeq genome assembly